This 1371-nucleotide ribosomal RNA is filed under the name uncultured bacterium. RNAcentral describes it as "bacterial SSU rRNA". It matches the Rfam family "Bacterial small subunit ribosomal RNA", at positions 28 to 1381 of the family's 1533-position model. The record is from RNAcentral.
GAUGAACGCUGGCGGCGUGCCUAAUACAUGCAAGUCGAGCGAACGGACGAGAAGCUUGCUUCUCUGAUGUUAGCGGCGGACGGGUGAGUAACACGUGGAUAACCUACCUAUAAGACUGGGAUAACUUCGGGAAACCGGAGCUAAUACCGGAUAAUAUUUUGAACCGCAUGGUUCAAAAGUGAAAGACGGUCUUGCUGUCACUUAUAGAUGGAUCCGCGCUGCAUUAGCUAGUUGGUAAGGUAACGGCUUACCAAGGCAACGAUGCAUAGCCGACCUGAGAGGGUGAUCGGCCACACUGGAACUGAGACACGGUCCAGACUCCUACGGGAGGCAGCAGUAGGGAAUCUUCCGCAAUGGGCGAAAGCCUGACGGAGCAACACCGCGUGAGUGAUGAAGGUCUUCGGAUCGUAAAACUCUGUUAUUAGGGAAGAACAUAUGUGUAAGUAACUGUGCACAUCUUGACGGUACCUAAUCAGAAAGCCACGGCUAACUGCGUGCCAGCAGCCGCGGUAAUACGUAGGUGGCAAGCGUUAUCCGGAAUUAUUGGGCGUAAAGCGCGCGUAGCGGUUUUUUAAGUCUGAUGUGAAAGCCCACGGCUCAACCGUGGAGGGUCAUUGGAAACUGGAAAACUUGAGUGCAGAAGAGGAAAGUGGAAUUCCAUGUGUAGCGGUGAAAUGCGCAGAGAUAUGGAGGAACACCAGUGGCGAAGGCGACUUUCUGGUCUGUAACUGACGCUGAUGUGCGAAAGCGUGGGGAUCAAACAGGAUUAGAUACCCUGGUAGUCCACGCCGUAAACGAUGAGUGCUAAGUGUUAGGGGGUUUCCGCCCCUUAGUGCUGCAGCUAACGCAUUAAGCACUCCGCCUGGGGAGUACGACCGCAAGGUUGAAACUCAAAGGAAUUGACGGGGACCCGCACAAGCGGUGGAGCAUGUGGUUUAAUUCGAAGCAACGCGAAGAACCUUACCAAAUCUUGACAUCCUCUGACAACUCUAGAGAUAGAGCUUUCCCCUUCGGGGGACAAAGUGACAGGUGGUGCAUGGUUGUCGUCAGCUCGUGUCGUGAGAUGUUGGGUUAAGUCCCGCAACGAGCGCAACCCUUAAGCUUAGUUGCCAUCAUUAAGUUGGGCACUCUAAGUUGACUGCCGGUGACAAACCGGAGGAAGGUGGGGAUGACGUCAAAUCAUCAUGCCCCUUAUGAUUUGGGCUACACACGUGCUACAAUGGACAAUACAAAGGGCAGCGAAACCGUGAGGUCAAGCAAAUCCCAUAAAGUUGUUCUCAGUUCGGAUUGUAGUCUGCAACUCGACUACAUGAAGCUGGAAUCGCUAGUAAUCGUAGAUCAGCAUGCUACGGUGAAUACGUUCCCGGGUCU